Molecule: ribosomal RNA, 400 nt
Filed under: uncultured bacterium
Lineage: Bacteria
Description: bacterial SSU rRNA
Rfam family: Bacterial small subunit ribosomal RNA
Source: RNAcentral
UGGGGAAUCUUGCACAAUGGAGGAAACUCUGAUGCAGCGACGCCGCGUGAGCGAUGAAGCCCUUCGGGGUGUAAAGCUCUUUCGACGGGAACGAUAAUGACGGUACCCGGAGAAGAAGCUGCGGCUAACUACGUGCCAGCAGCCGCGGUAAUACGUAGGCAGCAAGCGUUGUUCGGAAUUACUGGGCGUAAAGAGUGUGUAGGCGGUGCUCCAAGUCUGGUGUGAAAUCUCCCGGCUCAACUGGGAGGGUGCGCUAGAAACUGGAGUGCUAGAGGGUGGGAGAGGUAAGCGGAAUUCCUGGUGUAGCGGUGAAAUGCGUAGAUAUCAGGAGGAACACCUGUGGUGUAGACAGCUUACUGGACCAUUUCUGACGCUGAGACACGAAAGCGUGGGUAGCAAA